UACGAAGGGGGCUAGCGUUGCUCGGAAUCACUGGGCGUAAAGCGCACGUAGGCGGACUCUUAAGUCGGUGGUGAAAUCCUGGAGCUCAACUCCAGAACUGCCUUUGAUACUGAGGAUCUUGAGUCCGGGAGAGGUGAGUGGAACUCCGAGUGUAGAGGUGAAAUUCGUAGAUAUUCGGAAGAACACCAGUGGCGAAGGCGGCUCACUGGCCCGGUACUGACGCUGAGGUGCGAAAGCGUGGGGAGCAAACAGG
This 253-nucleotide ribosomal RNA is filed under the name uncultured bacterium. RNAcentral describes it as "partial 16S ribosomal RNA". It matches the Rfam family "Bacterial small subunit ribosomal RNA", at positions 524 to 776 of the family's 1533-position model. The record is from RNAcentral.